GGCCCAUACUCAAAUGUAUUGCACACGUGCGUGCGGUGGUAUCCAAGCUAACAUCUCUGUUUUUGUCAGGUUUGUUAUGACAAUCCAACCAUGCUUCAUAAACAGUAGUGAAGGUUUGUUAUGACAAUCCAACAGGCUUCAUAAACAGUAGUGAAGGUUUGUUAUGACAAUCCAACCAGGCUUCAUGAACAGUAGUGAAGGUUUUUAUGACAAUCCAACAGGCUUCAUGCACAGUACUGAAGGUUUGUUAUGACAAUCCAACCAGGCUUCAUGCACAGUACUGAAGGUUUGUUAUGACAAUCCAACAGGCUUCAUGAACAGUAGUGAAGGUUUGUUAUGACAAUCCAACCAGGCUUCAUGCACAGUACUGAAGGUUUGUUAUGACAAUCCAACAGGCUUCAUGAACAGUAGUGAAGGUUUGUUAUGACAAUCCAACAGGCUUCAUAAACAGUAGUGAAGGUUUGUUAUGACAAUCCAACAGGCUUCAUGCACAGUACUGAAGGUUUGUUAUGACAAUCCAACCAGGCUUCAUGAACAGUACUGAAGGUUUGUUAUGACAAUCCAACCAGGCUUCAUGCACAGUACUGAAGGUUUGUUAUGACAAUCCAACAGGCUUCAUGAACAGUAGUG
RNAcentral lists this long non-coding RNA (630 nucleotides) under Salmo salar (Atlantic salmon). Its description in RNAcentral is "lncRNA (ENSSSAG00000104309.1)". The record is from RNAcentral. Lineage: Eukaryota; Metazoa; Chordata; Actinopteri; Salmoniformes; Salmonidae.